UAGGGAAUCUUCCGCAAUGGACGCAAGUCUGACGGAGCAACGCCGCGUGAGUGAAGAAGGAUUUCGGUUCGUAAAACUCUGUUGUUAGAGAAGAACAGCGCAUAGAGUAACUGUUAUGCGUGUGACGGUAUCUAACCAGAAAGCCACGGCUAACUACGUGCCAGCAGCCGCGGUAAUACGUAGGUGGCAAGCGUUGUCCGGAUUUAUUGGGCGUAAAGCGAGCGCAGGCGGUCAAUUAAGUCUGAUGUGAAAGCCCCCGGCUCAACCGGGGAGGGUCAUUGGAAACUGGUUGACUUGAGUGCAGAAGAGGAGAGUGGAAUUCCAUGUGUAGCGGUGAAAUGCGUAGAUAUAUGGAGGAACACCAGGGGCGAAGGCGACUCUCUGGUCUGUAACUGACGCUGAGGCUCGAAAGCGUGGGUAGCAAACAGG
Molecule: ribosomal RNA, 429 nt
Filed under: Bacteroidota bacterium
Lineage: Bacteria; Pseudomonadati; Bacteroidota
Description: Bacteroidetes bacterium partial 16S ribosomal RNA
Rfam family: Bacterial small subunit ribosomal RNA
Source: RNAcentral